UUUCCCAUUUUUAGUACCGUUCAUUCAUUCAUCCCGGAAUGAACGGCUAUGCUAAUGGGAGAGACAGAACACUGUCGUCUGACGGAGCGGCUGGCUUCGUCCACCCCUCCUAAUAGAACUGACUGAACAAUUCCUA
RNAcentral lists this small nucleolar RNA (136 nucleotides) under Hucho hucho (huchen). Its description in RNAcentral is "Small nucleolar RNA SNORA29 (ENSHHUG00000050239.1)". The record is from RNAcentral. Lineage: Eukaryota; Metazoa; Chordata; Actinopteri; Salmoniformes; Salmonidae.